AGUUAGAAUCUCUGUAUUUUUAGCUUCUUUUUUUUUUUUCUCUAAAUUCUCUCUCACUGUCCUUAUCAUUUCACCACCUCCAUAAAUCUAGAAACAUCUUUUCUACUCCGUUAAUCGCUCUAGCACACGGCGGAGGAGUGCGGCGGAGGAGAUGGCGGGAAACGAUUGGAUUAACAGUUACUUAGAGGCGAUACUGGAUGUAGGACCAGGGCUAGAUGAUAAGAAGUCAUCGUUGUUAUUGAGAGAAAGAGGGAGGUUUAGUCCGACGAGGUAUUUUGUUGAGGAAGUUAUUACUGGAUUUGAUGAGACUGAUUUGCAUCGUUCGUGGAUCCGAGCACAAGCUACUCGGAGUCCGCAGGAGAGGAAUACUAGGCUCGAGAAUAUGUGCUGGAGGAUUUGG
RNAcentral lists this unclassified non-coding RNA (400 nucleotides) under Hevea brasiliensis (rubber tree). The record is from RNAcentral. Lineage: Eukaryota; Viridiplantae; Streptophyta; Magnoliopsida; Malpighiales; Euphorbiaceae.